GACCCAGCGGAGAGAGGCGGGGACUCAGGUCCGCCGCGGGAAAGCAGACCCCGAGCUGGGCGACCCGCGGCGGAGCAGUCGUUGGGGAAAGAGGAGGAUGAAACGGAGAGUUUGAUGAGAGCGUGCGGGAGAGCCAACCCGGUGUGAACACAAAGGAAGCGAAACAUCUGGAUGCUACCUGUCGCAGGCCUGAGCUCCCUGCUCCCGCGCCACUGCUGCACAUUUCAAGCCCGCGGCCCCCAGCCUCCUGCAGAGACCAGGAGCCAGAUCUGAUGGCAGAACCCCACAGCCGUGGUCCGAGACAGCAGGCUCAGCCAAACGUAGAAGAUGGGCCUUUCCUGUGUCCUCAAGGGAACCGCGAGCCUGCACCCCUAACAGCUGAGCCUUCAAGCAAAUGGAAUGUUGGGCCCUUUCCAAACUCCCACUUAAAAGAAUAUGAGGGAAGUAGGGGGAUUGUGUUCUCUUUGUGCAAAACUCUGAAUGGACGCAUUGUGUGAGGCCAGAGGAAAACUUAAUUUGGGACAGUCCAAAUGGUUCUUCAGAAUCUCAUCCUGUCUACCUAUAGAAGAGUCAGAAAAGAGUCAUUGUUGGACAAAUUGCUGCACACCUGGAGAACACAAUCUCAGCUGUCUUUGAACCUAGAUAUGUAGAAGUGUCAGUGCACGUCUAAUCUCCUUGGAGUUGUGUUGGGUUGCCUUCUGAUGCUCACCAAUAAUUUAUAGAAAGAAAAAGAAUACAUCCGACUUGGCUACUGUAUUAAUUGUUGCCUCUUAUAAAGUCAUUCCUCAAAAUACACUUUGAAGAAUAUGUAAUAACUGAUUUCAACUGACUUCAAGUAAUCAUUUUAAAAAGGUCAAACCUAUCAGCCAAUACAGAAACUGAAUGUGAUGGGAAUGUUAAGAUUUCAAAACAACUCAAAGGACUGUGGGAAUGGGAAAAGGUCAUCUUACUUUUGUUCCAGAACAUACUGGUAAUAUGGCUAAGUAUGUAAAUGCAUACUUAGUUGCACAGAGAGGCUGUGCCUAUUAAGGGAUGUUUGAUUAUCCAAAAUAUCUUAAAAUACAUGGUCUUCAGAAAGACAUGUAUUCUGAAAACUAUGAAUCAUGGAAGGAAUCAAACCCCCGUUUUUUUUAAGCUGUAUAACUGAAGCCACCAAUGAAGGGUAAACUAUUUCACAGCAAAGUUGAGAAACAUAUGAAAGAAACAUUUUCAAGAAGUUGGUAGAGCAUGCAACUCUUGAUCGUGGGUAGUGAGCUUGGGCCCCACAUGGGUAUAGAGGUUACUUAAAAAACAAAACAAUGAAGCUUUAAAAACAGAUAAAUAAGUAAAUAAAGCAAAUCUUCAUAUGGCACAAGAACAUAACUGAUAGUUCUAUGAAGAAAAAUGAAUGACAUUUAUUACCAGAAAUGAUAGAAAGCAAUCACCAUUAAUUUGUGGUUGUAUUUUACAAGAAAACAUUUAAAUGUAUGUAGCUAUUUUCUUAUGUCGAAAAGUGUUGAAACUGUUUUUAAUAAAAAAAUCAAUAUUAAUAUAUUGUUCAUACUGAGACACUAGGUAAGGAAAAUAUCCUAAUUAUUAAUAUGUUAUGAUACCAAUAACCAUUAAAAAAUAACAACCAUCAUGCUUUUGACAAGAUGAAGUAGAUUUAUGAAAUCAAGACUUUAUCUUCAUAUAGAAUGUUGUUGUUGAAACUAGUUUCACAGAGUUAAUAAAGCUCAUUUUCGGUAUUUCGGAUGUUUACCAGAAUCAGCAUGUCAUGAAUAUGUGUAUCUACUUGGAAGAAAAGAAACGGAUAUUACUUUGCAGAUGCUUACCUUGAUGUUUAUGGAAUUAGCUAAUUUAUACUCACUUUUUUUUACUGUGUGUGGAUUUCUAAUAUCUUUAGUGCUAUGCAAUUUAAAUUUAUUUGAAUAAAUUCUCUAUUUUUAACUUCUGCUUUAAAAAAAAAAACUUGUGGAAGUACAUUUAUCUACAGUAGAUCUAUGUGUGAAUCCACCUGUGAUGUGGAUUAUGGGAAAUUCUAUAUUCUUCCUUUUGCUUAUCUGUGUUGUCUGCAAUAAACUUGUAUGUUUUACACAAUAAACAUGUAAGCAAAUUAAUGUAACUUUUGAAAGGCAAUAAAAAUCGGAAAGAAAGAAGGAUAGAAUGAAGGAUGAAGGGAAGAGGGAGGGAAGAACAAAAAGAAAGGAAGGAAGGAAGGAAGGAAGGAGAGCUUUUAAAUGAAACUUGACCUUGCAUCAGCUCAGCAAGGACUGGAGGUAACAUACACGGGAAUGGGAUGGGAAACAUACAUGGCGUCCUUCGGUGGUUGAGGAGCAUGAGAGAGUUGGAGAAAUAGCUAAGAGUCUGAGUCUCCCCGUGUGUUUGUGCUUUAGUUUUCCAUCCCAUUCAAUCCCACGACCUACCCUGCAGGAGUGAUGGGUAUUGUCUUUCUUUACAGAGGGGGAGAUGACCCCCCAGAGUGGUGAGGAGACUUGCUGAUCAUACUGUAUGAGCCAAGACCACUCCCCCACUCCCAAAGUUCACCUUCUGUGGUGAGGAAAAAAAGGUAGUUGGGUACAGUCUAAUUUUCCUUUGUAUGUCUAGCAGCUCUUAAUCUUUCUUGUUUUUCUUUUUUUAUUCCUGUGAAGAACCAAUAACUUUUCAAAGCUUUUUUAAUGUGUGUGUGGGUUUUUUUUUUUUUUUUUUCUAAGUAGGCUCUAUACCCAACAUGGGGCUUGAACUCACAACCCUGAGAUUAAGAGUUGCAUGGUCUACUCAAAGCUUUUGAGAUGGCACUUCUGCCCGAGAUCCACCUCCUGUUGCUUGUCCUCGGAUGACCAUAGGUUCUGCACUGUGUGAAGCUACACAAAUGGCUUCCUUAGAGGAACGGUCUUGACUUUCUGCUAAAGAAUGCUUGUGGCCACUCUGUAAUAAAGAUCCAACAAGACAUUAAAAA
Molecule: long non-coding RNA, 2938 nt
Organism: Mustela lutreola (European mink)
Lineage: Eukaryota; Metazoa; Chordata; Mammalia; Carnivora; Mustelidae
Exons: 5
Source: RefSeq, a predicted model, not a curated record